UGACAGUACUCCUACGGGAGGCAGCAUGGGGGAAUAUUGCACAAUGGGGCGCAAGCCUGAUGCAGCCAUGCCGCGUGUGUGAAGAAGGGUUUCGGCUCGUAAAGCUCUGUUGUUAAAGAAGAACACGUAUGAGAGUAACUGUUCAUACGUUGACGGUAUUUAACCAGAAAGUCACGGCUAACUACGUGCCAGCAGCCGCGGUAAUACGUAGGUGGCAAGCGUUAUCCGGAUUUAUUGGGCGUAAAGAGAGUGCAGGCGGUUUUCUAAGUCUGAUGUGAAAGCCUUCGGCUUAACCGGAGAAGUGCAUCGGAAACUGGAUAACUUGAGUGCAGAAGAGGGUAGUGGAACUCCAUGUGUAGCGGUGGAAUGCGUAGAUAUAUGGAAGAACACCAGUGGCGAAGGCGGCUACCUGGUCUGCAACUGACGCUGAGACUCGAAAGCAUGGGUAGCGAACAGGAUUAGAUACCCUGGUAG
Molecule: ribosomal RNA, 474 nt
Filed under: uncultured bacterium
Lineage: Bacteria
Description: bacterial SSU rRNA
Rfam family: Bacterial small subunit ribosomal RNA
Source: RNAcentral